CCAAAGAUUGAGUUCAAUAUGUUCAAUAGGUGCAGAGAGCUUCUGGUUCAUGAACACGUUGAAAAUUCGGAGAGUGGCAUGCCCAGAGGGAGCCUGGGAGUUCCAUGUCCCUUCACCACAUCUCUUGCUGUCCCUGUUCCCAUUGGACGUUCCACUCCACGAUGUCAAGGCAGGUGACCAGGUUCUCCUUAAGUCUUGGAGGGAGCGUGGACCAGAGGGUCAACUAACCCCCACGUGGACGGGGUCUUAUGAAGUCCUCCCAACUGCCCAUCCAUCAGUCAAACUGGCCAGAGUCAAGCUGUGGACUCAUCACACCUGGCAGGCGCUCAGUCUGUGCGGCCUGAGAGACGGAGCACGAGAACAACGCCCACAAGCGGGGCCUGAAGUGAGCCCGCAGUGUGGACAGAGACGGGGCACCGGGACGACGACGCCCGUGCGCUGGGGCCGAAGUGAGCCCGCAG
This 461-nucleotide long non-coding RNA is filed under the name Equus asinus (donkey). RNAcentral's name for it is "lncRNA (ENSEASG00005035135.1)". Lineage: Eukaryota; Metazoa; Chordata; Mammalia; Perissodactyla; Equidae. The record is from RNAcentral.